RNAcentral lists this unclassified non-coding RNA (313 nucleotides) under uncultured fungus. Its description in RNAcentral is "partial contains 5.8S ribosomal RNA and internal transcribed spacer 2". The stretch from base 1 to 133 matches the Rfam family "5.8S ribosomal RNA", at positions 22 to 154 of the family's 154-position model. Lineage: Eukaryota; Fungi. The record is from RNAcentral.
UGGUUCUGGCAUNGAUGAAGAACGCAGCGAAAUGCGAUAAGUAAUGUGAAUUGCAGAAUUCAGUGAAUCAUCGAAUCUUUGAACGCACAUUGCGCCCCAUGGUAUUCUGUGGGGCAUGCCUGUUCGAGCGUCAUUUCACCACUCCAGCCUCGCUGGGUAUUGGGCGCCGCGGUCCGCUGCGCGCCUCAAAGUGCUCCGGCUGAGCCGUCCGUCUCACCCGCGUUGUGACACAGUAUCGCGAUCGAGUGCGGAUGGCCGUGGCCGUUAAACUCUUAUUCAGGUUGACCUCGGAUCAGGUAGGGAUACCCGCUGA